Molecule: ribosomal RNA, 274 nt
Filed under: uncultured bacterium
Lineage: Bacteria
Description: partial 16S ribosomal RNA
Rfam family: Bacterial small subunit ribosomal RNA
Source: RNAcentral
AUACGAAGGGUGCGAGCGUUAAUCGGAAUUACUGGGCGUAAAGCGUACGUAGGCGGUUUGCUAAGUCAGAUGUGAAAGCCCCGGGCUUAACCUGGGAACUGCAUUUGAUACUGGCAGACUAGAGUAUGAUAGAGGGGGGUAGAAUUCCUGGUGUAGCGGUGAAAUGCGUAGAUAUCAGGAGGAAUACCAGUGGCGAAGGCGGCCCCCUGGAUCAAUACUGACGCUGAGGUACGAAAGCGUGGGGAGCGAACAGGAUUAGAUACCCUAGUAGUCC